RNAcentral lists this long non-coding RNA (811 nucleotides) under Lepidothrix coronata (blue-crowned manakin). RNAcentral describes it as "lncRNA (ENSLCOG00000001667.1)". Lineage: Eukaryota; Metazoa; Chordata; Aves; Passeriformes; Pipridae. The record is from RNAcentral.
GGGACAGGUCCUGCUGGGCCCCCCACGAUGCCGAGGUGUGUCCCAUACCCUGUGUCCCAUAUCCCGUGUCCCAUGUCCCGCCCCACAGGGGGGUUACAAGGGGGCCGAGCCCGAGGUGUCCCUCACCGCCUUCGUCCUCGUGGCACUGGAGGAGGCCCGGGAGGCCUGCAAGGAGCACGUGAACAACCUGGACUGGAGCAUCAACAAGGCCGCCGAGUUCCUGGGCCGGCGCUACGAGCAGCUGGCCCGGCCCUACACAGUGGCCCUGAGCUCCUACGCGCUGGCCCUGGCCGGCAAGCUCAAGAGCGAGAAGGUCCUCAUGAAGUUCUCCAAAGGUGGGCAGAGCUGGGAGGAGCGGAACGCCCGGACCUACAACAUCGAGGGCACGUCCUACGCGCUGCUGGCCCUGCUGCACAUGAAGAAGCCGGAGCUGGCGGGGCCUGUGGUGCGCUGGCUCGCCCAGCAGAACUACUUCGGGGGCGGCUACGGCUCCACCCAGGUGGGCUACGGACCCCCCCGGCACCCGGGGGUGGUUCUGGGGACCCUGGUGAAGCUCUGAGGUGGAGUCUCACCUGGGGCUCAGAAUUGGGGUCGGGGAGGGGGUUCUGGGGUCCCCAGUGAAGCUCUGAGGUGCAGCCUCACCUGGAGCUCAGAAUUGGGGUCGGGGAGGUGGUUCUGGGGUCCCUGGUGAAGCUCUGAGGUGGAGUCUCACCUGGGGCUCAGAAUUGGGGUCGGGGAGGGGGUUCUGGGGUCCCUGGUGAAACUCCAAGGUGGAGUCUCACCUGGGGCUCAGAAUUGGGGUCGGGGAGAU